Molecule: ribosomal RNA, 253 nt
Filed under: uncultured bacterium
Lineage: Bacteria
Description: partial 16S ribosomal RNA
Rfam family: Bacterial small subunit ribosomal RNA
Source: RNAcentral
UACGUAGGGGCCGAGCGUUGUCCGGAGUUAUUGGGCGUAAAGCGCGCGCAGGCGGCUUCGCGCGUCCGACGUGAAAGCCCCCGGCUUAACCGGGGAGGGUCGUUGGGUACGGCGGAGCUUGAGGGCGGGAGAGGGUGGUGGAAUUCCCGGUGUAGUGGUGAAAUGCGUAGAGAUCGGGAGGAACACCUGUGGCGAAGGCGGCCACCUGGGCCGACCCUGACGCUGAGGCGCGAAGGCGUGGGGAGCAAACAGG